UUUUAAGUCCAAUCUGCCCAAUGAAAAAUUUUUAAUGGCUGCAGUAUUUAUAACUGUACAAAGGUAGCAUAAUAAUUUGUUUUUUAAUUUAAAACUAGAAUGAAAGAUUUAAUGAAAUAUAAACUUUUUUAAAUUAAAAAAUUUAAAUUAUUAUUUAAGUAAAAAAACUUAAAUAAAUUUAUAAGACAAUAAGACCCUAUAAAAUUUUAUUUUAUUUAAAAUUAAUUAAUUAAUUUAAAAAUAAAAUUUAAUUGGGGUAAUUUAAAAAUUAAUUAAACUUUUUAAAAUUAAACAAAAAUUUUUGAAAAAAUUUUCUUUAUAUUAAAAAUAAUAAAAUUAAUUACUUUAGGGAUAACAGCAUAA
RNAcentral lists this ribosomal RNA (363 nucleotides) under Allorhogas amuzgo. Its description in RNAcentral is "partial 16S ribosomal RNA". The record is from RNAcentral. Lineage: Eukaryota; Metazoa; Arthropoda; Insecta; Hymenoptera; Braconidae.